AUGACCGCUUUACCAAUAGUUGAGACUCAAUCUGGAGACGUUUCCGCCUAUAUUCCUACUAAUGUAAUCUCCAUUACACAUGGACAAAUAUUCUUAUCUGCGGAUAUAUUCAAUGCAGGAAUUCGACCCGCUAUUAAUGUGGGUAUUUCUGUUUCCAUAGUAGGAUCCAUGGCUCAAAUUAAAGCCAUGAAACAAGUAGCUGGCAAAUCAAAAUUGGAACUAGCGCAAUUCGCAGAGUUACAAGACUUUGCACAAUUCGCCUCUACUCUCGAUAAAACAAGUCAGAAUCAAUUGGCAAGGGGUCGACGAUUAAGGGAAUUGCUUAAAUAAUCCCAGGCAAAUCCUCUCCCAGUGGAAGAGCAUAUAGCUACUAUUUAUACCGGAACAAGAGGAUAUCUUGAUUUGUUAGAAAUUGAACAGGUAAAUAAAUUUCUGGAUGAGUUACGUAAACAUCUAAAAGAUACUAAACCUCAAUUCCAAGAAAUUAUAUCUUCUAGCAAGACAUUCACCGAGCAAGCGGAAAUCCUUUUAAGGAAGAUAUUCAGGAAUAGCUGGAACGGUUUUCUCUUCAGUAACAAAUAA
Molecule: ribosomal RNA, 582 nt
Filed under: Triticum aestivum (bread wheat)
Lineage: Eukaryota; Viridiplantae; Streptophyta; Magnoliopsida; Poales; Poaceae
Description: partial small subunit ribosomal RNA
Source: RNAcentral